This is a long non-coding RNA of Drosophila willistoni, 776 nucleotides long. RefSeq lists it as uncharacterized. The record is from RefSeq and is a predicted model, not a curated record. NCBI's taxonomy places the organism in Eukaryota, Metazoa, Arthropoda, Insecta, Diptera, Drosophilidae. The transcript is spliced from 2 exons.
ACAGCACUUCUUUUGGUCAACUAAAAGUAAUUUAAACUUCAUCAAUUUCAUCAACUUCAAUCAAGGAUGAAAGUAAAUUUUCUUUACUCAUAAAGUAGGCCUUAAAAAUUAAAGUCGUUUCGAAAUUCGUUAUUUACUUAUUGUUACAUUCUUGCUCAAAGUGGAUGUUGGCUUAGCUGGAACAAAUUGUAAAAGUUUAAUACAAAUUUAUAGUGAUAAAUUUUCUUUCUCUGUGUUGUGCGGUAAUGGAGUGGCUAUUGACAUUUAUAGUAGGCUGUAUUGUUGGCUAUUUGAUAGCCAAAAAUCAUAGAUAGUUUACCUGUUCGUCAAGUUGGCUGUGUCUAAACAAUUGAACAUUGGUGUUCGACAUAACAACAAUCUAAAUUUCAGUUUUCCUCAAAAUUAAAAGGCACAAGUAAUAUUUGGAAAAAAAUACAACUAAAUUUUAGUUUAUCUUAAACGAAAUUAAUUCAAAUCGUCAAAAAGAAGAUGCAGCGUCUUUUGACCUUUCUGGUGGGAGGAAUACUUGGAUUUCUGAUUGCCAAGAAUACACGUUAAUUGAAGUGUAGCGAAGAUAUUCUCAAGAUGAGUCAUCUCCUUUGCUUUGGUUUCGGCAUCCUGAUGGGCAUGUUUGUAUGUCGACGAUGCAGUUCUUCCUAAAACACGCAAGAAUACUGAUGGAUAAUAUUAGAAACUAAGCCCAAGACUCAAAAAUUUUUAGAAAAGAAAUCUCAUACACAAAUGACUGCAAAUUAAAACAAAAUUAUAAUUGAAAA